RNAcentral lists this long non-coding RNA (2961 nucleotides) under Homo sapiens (human). RNAcentral's name for it is "HSALNT0335230". The record is from RNAcentral. Lineage: Eukaryota; Metazoa; Chordata; Mammalia; Primates; Hominidae.
AGAAGAGGACAGUCCGCAAGGGGCGGAAGACAAGACAAAAAUGACUCCAGUUCGCUAGACGCGCAGAGGGGCGGAUAGCGCGCGGACCCCGCCUUCCCCAACCGAGUGUGGGUUCCAGUCGCUGGGGAGGACCUGGUGGCCCCCUGACCUUGGACGAGCCAUAUUGGACGCCCCGGCGCCGUCCCGUCUUCCACGCUGCCAACUCCACCGCUCCCGCCCCGAACUGCGGCCUAGGAGCCACCGCAGCGCACCCAGCCCGCGAGUACAGCCGCAUGGGAAUAAUCCCAACAUUUGCCUGAUUUAUUUUCUUCCCUCUCCUUACGCUUGUACUUGUUUUUCUCCUCUCGCUGUUUUCCCUUCACACUAAUUCGCAACCUGGCAGUUUGCAAAGAGGAAACUCCCUUUCGGAAUGGAAAGCCGCUUUUGCUUCUUGUUGUUGGGGGUGGAAAACAUUCCAGCGAGAAUGAGUUCAAAAAGAAGGGAAACCGCGUCACUGGAGAGAAAGUAACAUUAAGAGAUCGAUGAGGACGGAGUGGGUAGGGGGGACAGAGAGAGGAACGUCUGCAACAGGCAUCUAAAAACAAGCGUGGAGGAGCAAAGAUUCCCAAUCCCCGGGUUACUACCGCGCGCGUUCUGCGCGAGCCAUUGCAAUGCCAGCAUUUACUGUAAGCAGAAUUUGAAGGCUUUUGAAAUCUUUUUUUGGUAAGACUUACCUUUCUCUUCGGCAUAAUGACUAUGUCGGUGAAGCAAAAAGUAAAGCAACGGACUGGAACUGCUGGCGCCGCCGCUGGAUGCUGCCUCUGCCUCUGCAGCUGCUCACGCGCAGGGCACGACGUAGCCCGGCCUCUUCGACCUGCACCUCCGCGGCUCCCUCUGGGGGCCCUCUGCUCGCCUCCCUGCUGCUCCAAUGAGGAGCCCCGCCAGCCGGCCGCGAGGCCCCAUUGGCUGAGGCAACGUUCUAAAUUCCACGAGGGCACGCCCACCUCCGCGCGCGGUACGCGCUGUUGUAGUUUCCACUUCACCGAAAAAAAUCUGCCUGGCGACUGAGCAUGCCCAGUUCAACUAGUAGCCUCCAGGCCACACAAUCCUGAAGUUUCAUUGUUUCGCUGCUCUCUCUUUGAGAUUGUAAGAAUAAGAACAGUGUGUGUCUUCAUAGGAAGGAAAAAGAGUAAGAAUGAAUACGUAAACUUUAUAAUGUAAAUAUAUACACAGCAGGUACCUUAUUCAUUUCCUACCCAUAAAGGCUUUUAAUGAAUGUUACAUGGUGGGAAUCUGUAAAGCGUGGGAAGGUACUCUGUACUGGAAGAGCGUGGCAACUUCUAAAGGCCUCAGUUUCCCCCCCUAGAUAUAUAGUGACAACAGUCCCUAAAAUCACUUAGCUCUAAUUUUCUGAAAUCUGUGAUUAUAAAUCACUCACUAAUUCAGCUAACUUCAAACUAGAUGUGAAGACGAAUAGGACAUGUUUGUUACGGAAAUUAGGAAAAGAAAGAACAAGGCAAAAACUGAUUAUUUUAUAUUUGAGACAUAUAUUUGAAUGACACCCGUCAUGUUACACUUUAUGCGUAAUAUUUCUCAAAGUUCUGCAAGGCAUAAAAUGAGCAUUGCAAAAAUAUUUCUGAAUUCAUUUUAUGAGACCAGAUUUACUCUGAUACCAAAACCAGUGAAAGACUUCAAAAGAGAGUUACAGACCAAUAUCACUCAUAAACAUAGACACAAAAGUCGUGAACAAAAUUUUAGUAAAUGAAACUCAACAACAUUUAAAGGGACAAUACAUCAUGACCUGUGGGGCUUAUCUUGGGAAUGCAAAGCUGCUUUUUUAAUAUCUGAGAAUCAAUCAAUGUAAUUGGCAGGAUUAAUAGAAUAAAGGGGGAAAAACAAUCCUUUCAGCAGAUGCAGGAAAAGCGCUAGUGAAUGGGUAAGCAAAUUGUGAUGAGCACAUGCAGUGGAAUACUAUUCAGCAAUAAAAAACAAUAAAAAAUUUUCCUACAUGGAUGAAUAUCAAAAACAAAGUGCUGUACGAAAGAAGUCAAAUACAAAAGACCACACUGAAUGAUUGCAUUCAUAUGAAAUUAUAGAAAAAGCAAAAUUGGGCAAAGUUAGUUUCAGAAUCAUCUUAGCAGGCAAAGCUCACAUCAUAGGAAAAUGUGUUGAAGCCUUACAUUACAAAUAUGGCCAAAUCCACUUUGGUAACACAGAGGCUGCAAAUAUGUAUUAAAAAUAUCAUGUAUUAAAUAUGUAUUAAAAAAGCAAUGAAGUUUAAUAUUUCACUUUUUCUUUAGUAAUUUUCAGAAUACAUUAAUUGAUCUAGUACUCUCCAGAGGUGGUUGAUUACUUUCUUUUUUGGAACAUCUUUAUGAACUCAUGGAUUUUUACAUAUUUGGUGUGCAUCAGUGUAUUGCUAUCAUUAUUAUUACCUUUUUAAUGCUCCUAUUACCACAUCUUUAGCCAAUGCAUACCCUUUCAAAUUAGUGCUUGUGUCCUUUUGACAUGAUCUUAAUCAUUUUUGAUAGAUUCCCUGUUCUUGGGCAUUCAGUGAAUGACAAUAGUAUACUGAAACGAAUUAAGAUAAAAACCAAUUGCUUAGAGCUAGAUAAAAAUUUACAAGUUAAUAAUUUUAUCAUUAAAAUAAUAUUUAUAAUGAAGAUGUCUUUCAAGAUAUUAAUUUGCCAAAUACUUGAUAGUUAAAUAAAGAAAAAGUCAGUGAAAACAUUUUUAGUAAGAUAUGUGUGAGAAGGAUACUGAGUAGCACUUGCAAUCUGGACUGGAUGGCUAUUUUUCUUCAUGGAGAUGGAAAGGUGCCACAACAAAGGUAGUGCUAAGGUGAAUAUUUCUCCUCUGUGAUGAAAAAUAACUCACAAAAUUGGCUUCUUUGUUAAUUUUUUUUCAAAACCAAACACUCAGAUCAUCAACAGCAAACAAAAUUGUGAAUGUUUUUACUGCACACAAUAAAAAUGCUACGAU